UGGCUGUUCGCCAUUUAAAGUGGUACGCGAGCUGGGUUUAGAACGUCGUGAGACAGUUCGGUCCCUAUCUGCCGUGGGCGCUGGAGAAUUGAGGGGGGCUGCUCCUAGUACGAGAGGACCGGAGUGGACGCAUCACUGGUGUUCGGGUUGUCAUGCCAAUGGCACUGCCCGGUAGCUAAAUGCGGAAAAGAUAAGUGCUGAAAGCAUCUAAGCACGAAACUUGCCCCGAGAUGAGUUCUCCCUGACCCUUUAAGGGUCCUGAAGGAACGUUGAAGACGACGACGUUGAUAGGUCGGGUGUGUAAGCGCAGCGAUGCGUUGAGCUAACCGAUACUAAUGAACCGUGAGGCUUAACCUUACAACGCCGAAGCUGUU
Molecule: ribosomal RNA, 374 nt
Filed under: Pseudomonas aeruginosa
Lineage: Bacteria; Pseudomonadati; Pseudomonadota; Gammaproteobacteria; Pseudomonadales; Pseudomonadaceae
Description: bacterial LSU rRNA
Rfam family: Bacterial large subunit ribosomal RNA
Source: RNAcentral